AGAAGGAAGCUUGCUUCUUUCAAAUCUAGUGGCAAACGGGUGAGUAACACGUAAACAACCUGCCUUUCAGAGGGGGACAACAGUUGGAAACGACUGCUAAUACCGCAUGACACAUUGGGGUCGCAUGGCCCUGAUGUCAAAGAUUUAUCGCUUCAAGAUGGCCUCGCGUCUGAUUAGCUGGUUGGCGGGGUAACGGCCCACCAAGGCGACGAUCAGUAGCCGGACUGAGAGGUUGAACGGCCACAUUGGGACUGAGAUACGGCCCAGACUCC
This 272-nucleotide ribosomal RNA is filed under the name uncultured Oscillibacter sp. RNAcentral describes it as "partial 16S ribosomal RNA". It matches the Rfam family "Bacterial small subunit ribosomal RNA", at positions 70 to 339 of the family's 1533-position model. Lineage: Bacteria; Bacillati; Bacillota; Clostridia; Eubacteriales; Oscillospiraceae. The record is from RNAcentral.